This 572-nucleotide ribosomal RNA is filed under the name uncultured bacterium. RNAcentral describes it as "bacterial SSU rRNA". It matches the Rfam family "Bacterial small subunit ribosomal RNA", at positions 97 to 685 of the family's 1533-position model. The record is from RNAcentral.
GGCGGACGGGUGAGUAACGCGUGAGGAACCUGCCUUUCAGAGGGGGACAACAGUUGGAAACGACUGCUAAUACCGCAUGACACAUCGGAGUCGCAUGGCUCUGAUGUCAAAGAUUUAUCGCUGAAAGAUGGCCUCGCGUCUGAUUAGCUAGUUGGUGAGGUAACGGCCCACCAAGGCGACGAUCAGUAGCCGGACUGAGAGGUUGAACGGCCACAUUGGGACUGAGAUACGGCCCAGACUCCUACGGGAGGCAGCAGUGGGGAAUAUUGGGCAAUGGGCGCAAGCCUGACCCAGCAACGCCGCGUGAAGGAAGAAGGCUUUCGGGUUGUAAACUUCUUUUGUCAGGGACGAGUAGAAGACGGUACCUGACGAAUAAGCCACGGCUAACUACGUGCCAGCAGCCGCGGUAAUACGUAGGUGGCAAGCGUUGUCCGGAUUUACUGGGUGUAAAGGGCGUGUAGCCGGGAGGGCAAGUCAGAUGUGAAAUCCACGGGCUCAACUCGUGAACUGCAUUUGAAACUACUCUUCUUGAGUAUCGGAGAGGCAAUCGGAAUUCCUAGUGUAGCGGUGAA